RNAcentral lists this ribosomal RNA (253 nucleotides) under uncultured bacterium. Its description in RNAcentral is "partial 16S ribosomal RNA". It matches the Rfam family "Bacterial small subunit ribosomal RNA", at positions 524 to 776 of the family's 1533-position model. The record is from RNAcentral.
UACGUAGGGGGCAAGCGUUGUCCGGAUUUAUUGGGCGUAAAGAGCGUGUAGGCGGCCACACAGGUCUGCUGUGAAAACUCGAGGCUCAACCUCGAGACGCCGAUGGAAACCAUGUGGCUAGAGUCCGGAAGAGGAGAGUGGAAUUCCUGGUGUAGCGGUGAAAUGCGCAGAUAUCAGGAAGAACACCCGUGGCUAAGGCGGCUCUCUAGUACGGUACUGACGCUGAGACGCGAAAGCGUGGGGAGCGAACAGG